This 58-nucleotide transfer RNA is filed under the name Actinomyces sp. HMSC065F12. RNAcentral's name for it is "tRNA-Met". It matches the Rfam family "tRNA", at positions 8 to 62 of the family's 71-position model. From Rfam's summary of the family: Transfer RNA (tRNA) molecules are approximately 80 nucleotides in length. Their secondary structure includes four short double-helical elements and three loops (D, anti-codon, and T loops). Lineage: Bacteria; Bacillati; Actinomycetota; Actinomycetes; Actinomycetales; Actinomycetaceae. The record is from RNAcentral.
UAGCUCAGUCGGUUAGAGCAGCGGACUCAUAAUCCGUUUGUCCCGGGUUCGAGCCCCG